GACGAACGCUGGCGGCGUGCCUAAUACAUGCAAGUAGAACGCUGAAGCUUGGUGCUUGCACCGAGCGGAUGAGUUGCGAACGGGUGAGUAACGCGUAGGUAACCUGCCUGGUAGCGGGGGAUAACUAUUGGAAACGAUAGCUAAUACCGCAUAAGAGUAGAUGUUGCAUGACAUUUGCUUAAAAGGUGCAAUUGCAUCACUACCAGAUGGACCCGCGUUGUAUUAGCUAGUUGGUGAGGUAACGGCUCACCAAGGCAACGAUACAUAGCCGACCUGAGAGGGUGAUCGGCCACACUGGGACUGAGACACGGCCCAGACUCCUACGGGAGGCAGCAGUAGGGAAUCUUCGGCAAUGGACGGAAGUCUGACCGAGCAACGCCGCGUGAGUGAAGAAGGUUUUCGGAUCGUAAAGCUCUGUUGUAAGAGAAGAACGAGUGUGAGAGUGGAAAGUUCACACUGUGACGGUAUCUUACCAGAAAGAGACGGCUAACUACGUG
Molecule: ribosomal RNA, 497 nt
Filed under: uncultured bacterium
Lineage: Bacteria
Description: partial 16S ribosomal RNA
Rfam family: Bacterial small subunit ribosomal RNA
Source: RNAcentral